GAAUUUCAUUGUCUUCUGUGGAAUUCUUCAACACAUACACAACCAACCGGACCGUUGACUUUCAGAAAGUAUUUAAAGAGAGAUGUGUGCGCAUAUCUUCCAUCCUUUUCUCUGAACACAAGUCUGACUGUCCUCUCUGCCUUCUCGCUCAGGCACUAUCAUCUUAAAAGCAAUACACAGGAUGUCAAUUCAGCGGGCCAAUUUUUCCAACCAGUGGAGUACUGAAAUCUUUGACUGCAUGAAAGUGAAGGAUAAAACAGAUUGUUUCCUUUCAAUCUUCUGCUUUCCAUAUUUUGCGUGUAAGACGGCUAAGAGGUAUGGAGAGUGUUUUUGCCUUCCUCUGAUUGAUGGAUUUGGUUUGAUGAGGGUAUCCAUGCGUCAUCAUUACGGCAUUGAGGGUAGUCUCUUGACUGACUGCUUGAUUUCCUACUUCUGUUGUCCCUGCGUAUGGUGUCAGAUGUCUCGGGAAAUGAACGCCCAUGAAACUGUAACACGUCAACCUUAAUGAACUCAACUGCCAAUCGACAACAUCCUCAUUUUCCCUCAUUACUUUUUUGGUACUAUACAUGCCCAUGUAAUAUAUUAUUAUAUAAAUUUUACUACCUAACAUUACCCCAAAUAUUACUUUAUAUUGUGUCCCAAUUGGUAGAAAUAAUUCCCAACAUUUCUCAGCAAUGACACGAUCUGUAUACAUUACCUUUAUAUGAGAUUAUCCUGUUGCCUUGUGCUGACUGUAUGUUUAGGCCUAAAGGUUUGUAUAGUUUAGUAAAUGAAUACAUAAAUCUUCGCACUUUACUGGUUUGUGAAAAUUACUAAUAUGGAAUAAAAGCUAAUGAAGAAAAAAAGACAUACAUAUAAAGAAAAAAAUGUGUAGGCUAAUUAUGAUUAAUAGUCAGACAAAUUACAUAAAAAUAAAAAUAAACUGAGCUAAAAAAAAAUUGUAUUAUUAUUUAAUUCCACCAGUAGGUGGCAUACAUUUACCAGUAAUCAUUAAAUAGAAGAAAACGAAACCUGGGUCCUGUUGUUCGGUUAGUUUAGUCUGAAUCUGAAUGAUCUGGAUUUUGAAACCCUAUUUGUUUUACCAUCUAGGAUCAGGUAACACAUCAACUUUUGAGCUGAUUUUUCUAAGCAAAAUUGGAUUGGAUCACCCUGAUCCAGAUACACGCUUUUUCAGAUUUCUCUACGGAGCCCCUAAAGGGACACUAAUGGGAAGAGAGAAAAAAAACGAUGGAAAAAAGCACUGUUUUGCAUUGCAUUUACACAAAACUGCUUAUGACUGCCAUCUCUGGUGAUUGUGCCAUUAUAGUUUACAAUUUGGGAUUAAAAAAAAAAUAUAUAUAUAUAUAUAUAAUAUUUGUUUGAUAUGGACAGCUGUUUGGGGAUAUAUUGCAUGUUACAAAUGUUGUAUUGUUUGGACCAGUUUUAAAGUUUUAUUAGGCUACAUAUUCGUUCUAGAAAUACACCCUUCUGCUUGGAUCAGAAUAAUGUGUUUUUGUUUUUGUUUUUUUUUUGUUUGUUUUUUUUGGGCCAAAGGUAGGCCUAUCCCAAUCUUACAAAGGUAUGUGAAGGAGAAAGUCACAGUAAUGAUUGUAUUUUAGUACCCAAAUAAAAGUAUCUGCCUAAUGUGCAUGCUACUACAGUAGGCGUCUGUAUGUAAGCCGAUACUCCACAUGUGUUGCAGCACUUGUCAAUGCGCAGAAUGUAUGUGCCCAGAAAAAGUAUCAAUAAAUGCACAAGUAGAUGGAAUCUGA
Long non-coding RNA from Carassius auratus (goldfish), 1751 nucleotides. RefSeq lists it as uncharacterized. The transcript is spliced from 4 exons. Lineage: Eukaryota; Metazoa; Chordata; Actinopteri; Cypriniformes; Cyprinidae. The record is from RefSeq and is a predicted model, not a curated record.